CGGGAUGUGGCGCAGUUUGGUAGCGCACCUGACUGGGGGUCAGGGGGUCGCUGGUUCAAAUCCAGUCAUCCCGACCA
This 77-nucleotide transfer RNA is filed under the name bacterium. RNAcentral describes it as "tRNA-Pro". It matches the Rfam family "tRNA". From Rfam's summary of the family: Transfer RNA (tRNA) molecules are approximately 80 nucleotides in length. Their secondary structure includes four short double-helical elements and three loops (D, anti-codon, and T loops). RNAcentral also lists the same sequence under 3 other names. The record is from RNAcentral.